RNAcentral lists this unclassified non-coding RNA (411 nucleotides) under Hevea brasiliensis (rubber tree). Lineage: Eukaryota; Viridiplantae; Streptophyta; Magnoliopsida; Malpighiales; Euphorbiaceae. The record is from RNAcentral.
AGCAAGUCUAAAGAAGAGAAUCACAAAUUGCUGAAUGGAAAUUCGGGAGAUCCUGCAGAAUGGAGGCCCCGAACCCAAAUCAAUGGGAAGAUUGUGGAAGAUGGCAAAACAUUACAUGAAGCAGUGAUUAAUGGUGUUUAGACGAUAAACUUUUCAUGGAAUGCCUUCACUCACUGAGGCCCCCCUGGUACAUACACUGGUAACAAUGCGAUCAUUACAAGUUGUGUUCUUCCAAGUUGAAUAGUUUUGGUUUUAGUGUAGGAUACGAAAUGAAGGUUAUGGAUGUCGUCUCCACGCCGUCCCUAUGUGGUUAAAUUUAAUGUUUGAUCAGCAAAUGUAUCAUGAAAUUCAUUUUAUUUUUUGGUUAAUGCAAAUUAUUUUUCUGGAAUGUGUUAUUCCUUUAUGAGGCAA